GUAACGGCGAGUGAAGCGGCAAAAGCUCAAAUUUGAAAUCUGGCGCAAGCCCGAGUUGUAAUUUGAAGAAGGUAAUUUUUGAAGAUAUGGAGACAAAAGUUCCUUGGAAUAGGACGUCAUAGAGGGUGAGAAUCCCGUUUUGUCUCUCUCUGUUUUCUUGUAAAAUGCUUUCGAAGAGUCGAGUUGUUUGGGAAUGCAGCUCUAAGUGGGUGGUAAAUUCCAUCUAAAGCUAAAUAUUGGCGAGAGACCGAUAGCGAACAAGUACAGUGAUGGAAAGAUGAAAAGAACUUUGAAAAGAGAGUGAAAAAGUACGUGAAAUUGUUGAAAGGGAAGGGUUUUAAGGGAGACAUGGGAGGUAAUGAACAAUUUUCCUUUGGGAAGGUGCACUCAUUGCUUUCUGGGCCAAUAUGGGUUUUGAGAGUGGGAUAAAGGGUUAGCAAUGUGGCCAUUUUAUGGUGUUAUAGGCUUUCUUAAUACCACUACUCGGGACCAAGGAACGCGAUUCUAGGAUAUUGGCGUAAUCCCUUUAAACCACCCGUCU
Molecule: ribosomal RNA, 541 nt
Filed under: Sugiyamaella sp.
Lineage: Eukaryota; Fungi; Ascomycota; Dipodascomycetes; Dipodascales; Trichomonascaceae
Description: partial large subunit ribosomal RNA
Rfam family: Eukaryotic large subunit ribosomal RNA
Source: RNAcentral